This 725-nucleotide long non-coding RNA is filed under the name Nicotiana benthamiana. RNAcentral's name for it is "long non-coding RNA (NBEN_LNC032600)". The record is from RNAcentral. Lineage: Eukaryota; Viridiplantae; Streptophyta; Magnoliopsida; Solanales; Solanaceae.
AGUAGUUUGUAUUGAUAAUGGCCUGAGGGUUUGAAACCCCGGUUUAUCACAUUGUGAUGCUAUUUUAGGGCGUGAUUCGCAACCCAUGGCAGGUGUGGGGCUGUUUAUGACUGGGGAUUGUGACUUGGUCUACCCGAACAAGAAUAAUACUAUAUUGGUGACUGAUACGCACCCAGUAUUAAAUAUAUCUGGGCUUAUUGCCAUGUUUAGGACCUUUUGCCGAUCUGUAGCAUCCUUAGAAGAUGAAUAUCAUUGUGAUAUCAUGAUUUGUAUAAUUAUUGAUCUCAAUCUUGUGUUUAAUCACUGUUAUGAAAUGCUAAGUCACCUUUUUCCUGAAAGUAAAUAACUAAAUUAUAUUCUUCUUAAUAAUUGGAAACUGAAAAAUAAAUUGAAUCUAUUAUGUGACUUAUAUGUAUACUGUGGACUGAGUAUGGAUCGGGAUGCACGCCGCAGUAGUGACAUGAUGAUAUUGCGCUUGGGUUGUAGGAGCCCCUCCGGAAUCUGUACACAUCACCAAUGAGUGUAGUCGAUGUUAAAUGAAUCGGGCUGUACGCCACAGCGGGUCAUGUGCAUUGCAUUUCAUUAUUGCAUUUUACUUGACUAAUAUACUUGAUAUUGCUUUGCUAUUGGUUCGUAGUUAAGGUGUCAGAUUGUUAGUAUUAGCUUUACUUUGUGCCAUUUCGUGGAUUUCUUAUCUUCAGACAUUUUAUAUGCUUAUUACUCAC